GUGAGGAAUUUUCCGCAAUGGGCGAAAGCCUGACGGAGCAAUGCCGCGUGAAGGAUGAAGGCCUAUGGGUUGUAAACUUCUUUUCUUAGAGAAGAAUAUUGACGGUAUCUGAGGAAUAAGCAUCGGCUAACUCUGUGCCAGCAGCCGCGGUAAGACAGAGGAUGCAAGCGUUAUCCGGAAUGAUUGGGCGUAAAGCGUCUGUAGGUGGCUUCAAAAGUCUCCUGUCAAACAUCAGGGCUUAACCCUGGGCCGGCAGGAGAAACUCUGAGGCUAGAGUUUGGUAGGGGCAGAGGGAAUGCCCGGUGGAGCGGUGAAAUGCGUAGAGAUCGGGAGGAACACCAAAGGCGAAAGCACUCUGCUGGGCCACAACUGACACUGAGAGACGAAAGCGAGGGGAGCAAAAGGGAUUAGAAACCCCAGUAGUCC
This 426-nucleotide ribosomal RNA is filed under the name uncultured bacterium. Its description in RNAcentral is "partial 16S ribosomal RNA". It matches the Rfam family "Bacterial small subunit ribosomal RNA", at positions 354 to 796 of the family's 1533-position model. The record is from RNAcentral.